Molecule: transfer RNA, 72 nt
Filed under: Nitrososphaerota archaeon
Lineage: Archaea; Thermoproteati; Nitrososphaerota
Also listed under: 1 other name
Description: tRNA-Asn
Rfam family: tRNA
About the family: Transfer RNA (tRNA) molecules are approximately 80 nucleotides in length.
Source: RNAcentral
GGGCCCGUAGCUCAGCGGUAGAGCGCCCGGCUGUUAACCGGAAGGUCGUGGGUUCGAUCCCCACCGGGCCCG